GAUGAACGCUGGCGGCGUGCCUAAUACAUGCAAGUCGAGCGAACGGACGAGAAGCUUGCUUCUCUGAUGUUAGCGGCGGACGGGUGAGUAACACGUGGAUAACCUACCUAUAAGACUGGGAUAACUUCGGGAAACCGGAGCUAAUACCGGAUAAUAUUUUGAACCGCAUGGUUCAAAAGUGAAAGACGGUCUUGCUGUCACUUAUAGAUGGAUCCGCGCUGCAUUAGAUAGUUGGUAAGGUAACGGCUUACCAAGGCAACGAUGCAUAGCCGACCUGAGAGGGUGAUCGCCCACACUGGAACUGAGACACGGUCCAGACUCCUACGGGAGGCAGCAGUAGGGAAUCUUCCGCAAUGGGCGAAAGCCUGACGGAGCAACGCCGCGUGAGUGAUGAAGGUCUUCGGAUCGUAAAACUCUGUUAUUAGGGAAGAACAUAUGUGUAAGUAACUGUGCACAUCUUGACGGUACCUAAUCAGAAAGCCACGGCUAACUACGUG
This 497-nucleotide ribosomal RNA is filed under the name uncultured bacterium. RNAcentral's name for it is "partial 16S ribosomal RNA". It matches the Rfam family "Bacterial small subunit ribosomal RNA", at positions 28 to 507 of the family's 1533-position model. The record is from RNAcentral.